CACCGCCCGUCACACCACGAAAGUGGUCAUAACCAGAAGCAGAUGAGCUAACCGCAAGGAGGCAGUCUACCAAGGUUGUGGCCGCGAUUGGGGUG
This 95-nucleotide ribosomal RNA is filed under the name uncultured bacterium. RNAcentral describes it as "partial 16S ribosomal RNA". It matches the Rfam family "Bacterial small subunit ribosomal RNA", at positions 1388 to 1482 of the family's 1533-position model. The record is from RNAcentral.